Molecule: long non-coding RNA, 3373 nt
Organism: Cygnus olor (mute swan)
Lineage: Eukaryota; Metazoa; Chordata; Aves; Anseriformes; Anatidae
Exons: 7
Source: RefSeq, a predicted model, not a curated record
UCUGACUUUGGUGUGGCUUCUCUGGUAGCAGCAGCUUUCAGUGCAACUAGCUGCAAGAGGAGCAGCUGGGUUCACCCCUGUGUUCUGGCAAGCUUCAAGGAAAUCCAUCACACCUGGCUGCAAAGCCUGCGAGGUUGAGGAGAAGAAAGCAGGGAUUUCAGUGACUCUGUGCUUGUGUGCGGGAUGUGAGCAAAGCUGGUUGCAGUGAAUCAAUGCAGAGGAACACCAACUGAACACAGGAAUAGAGAUGAAGAGGAUAUAUAACGUCCUGCAGAAUCUUAAUAUUCCAGAAAUAGGGUAUCAGAUUUUGGAUUGUAGCUUUAUCCUGAGGAGUUCAUUUGGGUAUUUGAUAAUUAAAUACUGAGGAAGAAGUGAGACUACUAGCAUACAGAAAGGAAAUCACGGAAAUGGUGCAUGUGUAGUCUCAUUGAUUUCUGAAGUGCUUUCACUUAGUGGGUGACGUUCCUGACAGUUUGAUUACUUGGAAUUUGAGGUGAAAAUGCCCAGGCAAAGAGAUCAACUCAAGAUAGAGAAAAAUGAGGAGCACGUUAGAAUAAGAAAAUUGGACUUUUUGUGAAGAACACAAUUGCUUGUUCAUAUGUUGCUGAAAUGCAAAGAGACCUCCAGGAUGCACCAAAGAAAUGGACUAAGUAGAGAGCAGGAAGAAAGAUGAAGCUUAAAUUAUCAUCAGCAGCACUGUUUGUCAAGUAGGGUAUGCACGUCUGAGGGAGGCUGCAUGUGGCUGCUGCUGCUGACAGAGCCCAGGCAGCGUGCUCUGUGCGUGCACCCCAUCUGGAGGGACCCGGUGAAAGGGAAGUCCUCAGGCCUGGAGGAGGACAAGACUGUUGCCAGCCUCUUGGCACCGGAGCCCACCAGGACCGAAGCACAUUGACCUGCUGUAGCUGUGCAGAAAAGCUGAACUACUCAGAACCUCACUGCUCCAUGGGGGCUACUUGUGUGGUUUGUUCCAGGAGCUCACAAGAAGCAAAACCUCUCACCAGUCAUGGGAAAGGGACAUCAAUUUUGCAGUGUUUGUUCUGAGAGCUGUUUUACCGAAGAUGUGUCACUGAAAACUGGUACUGUGGACAGUAUAGCCUGCUGAAUCUGGUCCGAGUGAGAAACAGCUUUCCUCUAUCAGCACCAUCUCGUCUAUGUUGUAUGUGAAUCAGCAGCACCUAAAAGACAAGAAGUAGUGUGCUUUGGAAUGCACUUUCAGGCUUUAUAUCUUCUCAUACCAGUGGACAGUCCAACGUGCCUUAAGUGAUUGUUCAGAAUACUUUAUAAAAAGAAAAAUAAAUCAGCUGACUGAAAUUUUAAUGAGAGGCAUAGAGAGAAGAAAACCAAACAAAUUUAGCCGUAUCAGAGGGAAGCAAGUUCAUUUUCCCCCACUAGAGAACUAUCUCCCAGCUCACACCUGGUGGAAAGAUCGUGAGUUUCAGCGCUGCAGAUGAAUGUUUCUGGCCUGGAAUGAUUUCACCUAUCUGAAAAGGGAGUUAAGUGUUUGUCAAUUUUGUCUAAACUGCCAGGUUUUCCUAGAAAUAGUGUUCCAGGUUUUCAUAAGCCUGGAGACAUUUUUGUCAUUUCAACCUCGUUUAGUUUAUUAUAUCCUGCCAGCCAUGUCUAGAUAAACUGUAAUGAAGGCUGCUGCCUCCAUUACAAACCCACAUCUACUCUAUCAACAAGCUUUCAGUACCAUGACCAUUAUAAAAGCUCUAAAAUUUGAUCUGCCAUUGAUGAUAGGCAAGUUUCAAUUUGUGGCUACUAGCCUGCACAAAAUGAUCUACAAAUGGCAUGUUGCAGGCCGUUAUUUUGUAUCCUGCAGGAUGGUGUGGAAGUCCUCUCCCUUCCCUUCAAGGUGAAGGUCAUUUCACCAGAUCAGAAAUUGCUAUUGCUCUAACUGACAUGGGGAACUAUACCAGAAGCUUAAUUUAAAAUAAAAAUAGAGGCAGUAGAAUAAUGCUGCAUGCCCAUUACUUUCCUGUCAUUUGACAAAAACAUUAAUUUCUCACUGAGCUAGAAACCAAGACCAAUUCUUAAGAGAACAGCACAUUUGAGAAUGUGCUUCUUUAUUGUUCAAAUUGGUGGAUCAGUCCUCAGACAAGUCCUCCUUUGAUUUUUAUAAGAAAUAUUUUCUCCUUUUUUCCACUCCUGCUUUGCCCUGUUUAAAGCAGCAAAGUGCUUACGGACCACCUUUGUACAGCUUUUAUUUUCACCGGGCUUUCCUGAGACUGUAACCGCUCAAUAUUACAAAUCCAUGAAUCCUAACAUUGAUGAAUCUGGUUCUUGAAAAGCAUGAGUUGCAAUGGUUAGCUAGCUGAUUAAACCAAAAUAAAGUGCUACCUUGAGGGCUUGAAACAAGUGCCCUUUGGAAGAUUUAAUUUCAUGAUCUCACUAAUGGGUGUUUUGUAGGUUCAGUGUACAUCCUAUGCACGUAUCUUUUAAAUCACUGCAGAUUGCAUAUUGGUUUAUAUUGUUAUCACAAAUUAGCUCUACAAUAUCAAUUUCUUUGAUGCAGGAAACUCUGAACAGAAUCGUUUGCAUUUCUGUUUGAGUGACCUGGAGACAAAUAUAAUGAAAUGAAUAGCCUUUUAAUUUAAUUGGCUUCCAAUGUGAGUCUGAGAAUAGAAAGCACAAUACAUUGCACAGUUACUGUAGAAACGGUUGAGGUCAAAAGCUCAGCAUGCAGACCCUACAUCAGUCACCACUGCUCUUGUGCAGUAAUUUUUUUUAAUUUUCACUGCAUCUCCAUCAGACCCCAGGAAGCCAGAUAAUUCAGCUUUAGUAUUCCAAGUGGAAGUGCUGGGUCGUUUGUCACCGGUCAGAUCAUGCUAUGGAAUCCAUUUAAAAAAAAAAGCUGCCAAAAUGAAAAACUACGUUGUAUCAGUGCUCUUGUAUAUCACCAACAAGAAUACAAUCAGGGGAAAAAAAAAAAAAAGUGAACAGGAAAAAUCUGUUUUCUUCUCAUAGAAGAAAAGAGGACAGAACAAGGCAAGAAAAAGUGGUACAAAAUGGAUAAUAGUCUGCCAAGAAAUCCUUUUUCAAAAAUGUCUUUCUAUUACAGAUUACAGACAGUUAAGAUUUAUGUGCUAUUUAUUGGAGCCAGCCUUACUGAAAGCAAUGCAAGCAAAAAUGGAGAUAAUAUCUUAGUAAUAUUCAGAACUCCUACGUCCUUUUAAGUGUAGAAAUAAAGAGAUACAGCUCUUGGAAAACUUAAGGUAGCCAGGGAGCUCCUCGAUGAACACACAAACCCUUCCACACAGUGCUAAAUGUAGAAAAGGGACUUUACUAUUUUGGGACUGGCUAGUGUGAGAUCUGUGCUCCUUUUUCAGCCUGAAUUCAUUCACCUGUAUGCAAAAAAGUUCAGAACUUCUCA